GGGGGUGACUGGUUUCGACAAAAGAAUCCUUCCGAUUCGUGCAUGACGGUGAAUGCUGGAGAACACCUAAAACCUCGAGCACCAAACGUGUGAAAACGUUUAAAGCAGGGCUUUCGCCUAUUCAGGCUUCUGACCUUGCUCUCGUCUACGCGUAAAGCCUAGCGAGCGCCAAACUCCUGAUGUCUGAUACGGAGUUCUUGGUGUCAUAACAUCAGGCUUUGAGUUGCCGGCUGUUCACUGGCCACUCGAAUUCACCGAACUCGGCGCAUGUCAUUUUGUUCGUUCUCUACCCAUGCGCUUAAAUCCGCUUCGCGGAUGAAAACGGACUACGUCUUGUAGAAACGUUUCGGUUACUCUUUUGGACGAGGGUUCAUUACCCUCCACCUCCACAA
RNAcentral lists this transfer-messenger RNA (392 nucleotides) under Patescibacteria group bacterium. It matches the Rfam family "transfer-messenger RNA". From Rfam's summary of the family: Bacterial tmRNA, also known as 10Sa RNA or SsrA, is named for its dual tRNA and mRNA-like properties. Its role is to liberate the mRNA from a stalled ribosome. To accomplish this part of the tmRNA is used as a reading frame that ends in a translation stop signal. The record is from RNAcentral.